This 5693-nucleotide long non-coding RNA is filed under the name Paramuricea clavata. Lineage: Eukaryota; Metazoa; Cnidaria; Anthozoa; Malacalcyonacea; Plexauridae. The record is from RNAcentral.
GGAAAAUCUGUAAUGUUUGGAGAAGACAAGAUGGCGCUGGUUACCUCGUGUUAUAUCAAACGGCAUUUUUGUUCACAAAUACCCGCUUAUUUUACAUUAUAGCGACUGGUUCGUUUUGGAAAUUAUAACUCAAUGGACGGGGAAAAUGAUUCUGUAUUAAAGAGAAAAUGAUGUGCAGUUAUUGUGAUGUUAUUUGUUGUGAAAGACGGCCCGAAAUUUCGCUACUUCGCGGUACUGGUUUAUAAAACAUUUACAAGCAACAGCAAAUGAAAUAUAUGACAAAGAAACCAAUGUAUACAAGCCAAUCAAGUUCUUCAGUUUAAAGGUCUGUUUACUUUUUAGUAAUUAGUUCAUUUAGUUGUACAUUAAUUAAUUUAACCCAGACUGUAAAGUUUGGCCUGCGCGGGGAACGCGUUUUAGCUGAAUUUCUGUCCGCGCAUUUUCAACAAAAUCCUACAAAAUCUUCACAUUUUUGAUGAACUGAUGAUUUAUUUUGUCUCUUAUGUGCUGGGCCUUGCAAAAAGAGGUAGAGAAAACUCUGAAAAUGCCAUUUCAGACCAUCUAGAGACCCCAAAUUUUCGAAAUUUUCUCAAAUGUUCUGCCUUCAUUUCCGCGUAACUGCCUUUUACGACGAAAAGUUCCCCGCGCAAAAAUAAUACUUUACAGUCUGGAAUUUAACCAGACUGGAAAGUUUGUAAAAUGCGCGGCGGAGAUCGAAAUUUGCCCGUUUUUUGCGCGGCCAGAUGGCGAAAUUUGCGCGGGCAACUAGGGCGUGGUCAACUAGGGCGUGGUCAAUUCAUCUCCAGGGCCCCGCCCGAUGCGAUUUCUUAUUAGUACCUUUUUGUUCCAACAUUAUCUAUUAAACAAUAAAUUACUACGAAGUAAAUACAUUAAUAUCAGUAUUUAUAAGCAUGUGUAAUUGAAUCUAUAAUCCCGAAAUUUCGCUACUUCGCGGUACUGGUUUAUAAAACAUUUACAAGCAACAGCAAUUGAACUAUAUGACAAAGAAACCAAUGUAUACAAGCCAAUCAUGUUCUUCAGUUUAAAGGUCUGUUUACUUUUUAGUAAUUAGUUCAUUUAGUUGUACAUUAAUACCAGACUGGAAAGUUUGUAAAAUGCGCGGCGGAGAUCGAAAUUUGAACCGACAUAAAAAUCACGACAUAAGUAUUCGUCAUUGUCUUCGUCAUCAACUGUUCAAGAACUUUCUUACAGUAUUAAAAAUCACUUACAUAUAAAAUUUGUAAUUGUUUUAAAAGUUUUUAUCACAGUUUUUAUAUCUUUAUUCACUUUUAACCUGAAGAUGGAGUUAUACUCCGAAACGUAGUUAUUAAAAUAAUUUUUUACUGAGCCCAUAUGGUCUAAUUUAUAUUCAAACACACGUACAUAUUCAUUUACAUUUUGCUGGCAGGCAAAUUCCCAUCACACAAUAAAUUCUUUAAAAAAUAACGUACCAGUGUAUUGACUAAAAACAAAAACUGGUAAACUAAAAAACAAUUCAAACAAUCGCGAAAAAUGGCAACGGCAAAGUCACAGUUAAUUUGCAUUUGUGCAUCCAGAACGACAGUACGACACAAUAUAUUUGAAAAAGUGAUUCUUUUCUCCACACGGGUAUUUUUAGUUCACUGGGUAUACCAGAAGCGUAACUCAAGCAAGUAUUUGUUUUUACAAGCGAUUCGUCAUCAAUCACGCCAUCCUGGCUAGUACAACCGGCACUUUGGACCUACCAAAACCAGUGAACUCUCUAUAUAUAUAUAUAUCUGGAAUGAUAACAGCGAGCGAAAAGUGAAGCUGACAAAAAAAAUCAUGACAUAAGUAUUUGUCAUUGUCUUCGUCAUCAACUGUUCAAGAACAAUCACUUACAUAUAAAAUUUGUAAUUGUUUUGAAAGUUUUUAUCACAGUUUUUAUGUCUUUAUUCACUUUUAACCUGAAGAUGGAGUUAUACUCCGAAACGUAGUUAUUAAAAUAAUUUUUUACUAAGCCCAUAUGGUCUAAUUUAUAUUCAAACACACGUACAUAUUCAUUUACAUUUUGCUGGCAGGCAAAUUCCGAUCACACAAUAAAUUCUUUAAAAAAUAACUAUAAAACUGGUAAACUAAAAAACAAUUCAAACAAUCGCAAAAAAUGGCAAAGUCACAGUUGCAAGUCAAUUUACCUACCUGUGAAAUGAAAUUUUCCUCGCAAGAAUAUCUCUUUCCUUGUGCAUCCAGAACGACAGUACGACACAAUAUAUUUGAAAAAGUGAUUCUUUUCUCCACACGGGGAAGUUUUCCUUGACUUUUUUCCGACAGCGAACUCAAUGCAGUAAAUUUUAGGAGCAAAACAGUUUGCUCCUAAAAUGUAUUGCAUUGAAUUGGCCAUGUUUGGUUUUGCUAUUUGUACUGACUACUGUAGUCGGAAUAUUUAAGAUAAGGUAUGGAUAAACAGACCCCAACCCCUUCCCUAACCAAUAAAUGUGUAAUGAACUAUUUGAGAGUUAGAAAGGUCGGGGGGGGAUUUACAAAUAUUUUAAGAAACAUUUCUACGGGGCUGUUUAUAUGGAAGCAUGCCUUAGCAGGGCUGGCCCGCUAAACGAGAUAGCCCGGUAAGCGGGAUGAAUUUUGCUUGCGUUUAUGAGAUUUUAUCCUGCUUGCUGUGCUAGAAAUUGUUUACAUUGCACUCAAUAGGCAAUUCCAGCUUUUAGUUUAUGCCUGCAGGGGAUGAUGGGAAGUAAGGUAUCAUAGUGCUGAUUAUGCUGAAAAAUUUCAAUAAAAACAACCGAAAUAUUUCAAUAUUUACAAAUAUAAGCUAUCACCAUGUGUUUACACGGCCACCAUUUUUAUUUUUUCAGCAUAAUCAGCAAUGUGAUACCUUAUUUCCCAUCGUCCCCUGCACGCAUAAACUAAAAGCUGGAAUUGCCUAUUGGCUUUCCCAAUUUCAAAAUUAAUUUUUGCUUCAAAACUCGCUAUUUUGUAAACAUUACAGCUAUUGAAGCACAGCUUAGAUAGAGACAGGAAGUUUUACCUCGCAGUUUGAUCGUUGAAACGCACAAGUUACCAAGGGCAAAUUCAUGGGAAAUUUAGGCACUUUCGGUUCAAUGGGUUGUUCCAGAAAAGAUCCAUACCCCCCAUGCUGUCCGAAGGGGGAGUGAGGAAAAAUGUCUUAGGAUGUCCGAGGGGGGAGGAAAUGCGGAUAUAAGAUUGUCCGAAGGUUUUAGACAGUGAUAAAGCUAUGUGAUCGGCGAUUAUAAUGAGCACGCAAUUUUUAUCGGCUAUAGCCCUUAAAAACUGGAACGUUUAUGUAACAGCAAUAAUUAUACGUCCACGUAACUCGUAAGCAAAAUAGCGGCCCACUUUUGCAUGCAUGGCCACCAAAAACUAACUCGCUGUAACAGUGUAUCAUAUAAAAUUUACACACUUUAUUUAUAUAAAAGUAAAGUUUUGCAGUUUUUGUAUGUAUAAGUUUGAAUUAUUCAAGUGUUAAAAAUAAUAGUUAUUAAACUGUUGCUUGAAUUAAGAGACUGCUAUGUGAACUAAACUCAAUAUUUAGAAUAUUUAGUUUCAGUAUAUAGUCAAUAAAGCUUCCUUGCGAUGUGUGUGCCUAGAAAAUAGAAAUGGCUGUCAUAUUAAGGGCGAGGUUAAGGAAUGCAGUAAUACUAAAAAAUGCAUUAACAUGUAAGUAAAACACAGCAACGCUUCUCAAUCAGUCGCAAGUUACAUUGAAUUUCAGUCCGAAUUUUACUUGAUCGAAUUUCGAAGUGAAUUUCUGCAAAUUAUCCACCAAAAUCUGGCAUGUGUUUGUGUUCACAAGAAGCCGCCAAGUGUUCCACCACCACGGCGGAGCUAUUUGACAACAAUGUAGAAAAGUCACAAUAAGCCAUCGCUUUCACACUAUGCUGGAGCGAAAUAGUUUGAAAACUUUCACGACGCCUUUGCCAAAUACGCUACCAGCCUGAAUUGCUGAAAGCUGUUGCAAAAAACUGUUUUAUAUUACUACUUUACAAAAUGUAAUAAUUGGAUGCUAUACUUCAGUUCUUGUAUGAUAGUGCUUAUAAAUAAUUAUUAAUAUCGAAUUAAUAAUCAUUAUAGUUCUUAAUAAUUAUUUAUAAGCACUAUCAUACAAGAAAUGUCAAGAAUGAAUUUUCCUUCAAUGGUGGUUUUUUAUCCGUCAAAAGUUUAAUAUAUAUAGUUUUGACGAGAGAAAUGUUUCUCAACAAUUUUCAGAAAGUUUUACAAGAUUUUGGGGCUUGUUUUGAGUUGGGCUAUUCCAUUUAAAAGAUGUAACCCCCUAUCAAGGACAAUGGUUUUACCAUAUCUCUGAAGAAUUCCUGACAUAAAAGAGAUCCCCUGAAGAAUUCCUGUUACCCCUGAAGAAUUACAAUUUUUACAUCUGACCCCUAAAGGAAUUGCAUUUGAAAUAACCAACCCCUGAAGAAUUCCACAGGAGAAUUUGUUUACCCAUGAGGAAUUCCGGAGUUAAAAAGGGAGAUUAUGGAUAUUAAAUGGAAUAGCCAAUUUUCUGGAAAAUUUCCUGGUUGUUUUCCCUGCAGCUUGUUUAUAAACAUGCUUGUUUAUCUAUAGCAUCAUUUGUAGAAAAGGUGUUGAAAGCAUUUUUUGAAAGCAAUGACGUAUUAUCAAAUAUGACAAAUGAUCAUGCGAGCGACACUUGCUAGGAAGAUGGCGACUGUGGGACAACUAUAUAAUAGUUUUGUUUGUGGAAACACCACAUAAAUUUAUUACUGCAAAGCUUUCGAUCCGUAAGCCCGGAUCUUCAUCAAUGCUAAUAUGUGACUUGUUUAAUUCACACGCCCUUUUUAUAUACAAAAAAUGUCUUGAUCUGUUGGCUCACAUAUUAUUUAGCACUGAUGAAGAUCCGGGCUUACAGAUCGAAAGCUUGGCAGUAAUAAAUUUACGUGGUGUUUCCACAAACAAAACUAUUAUAUGUUUUAUCGCCAUGCAAACAUACAAAGAACUUAUUGUGGGACAACUUUUUUACUGAAGUUAUACAUCUGUCUUCACUUAAUCUGUGGCUCAGCUGGCUAGACCUUGAUUCUUGCCUGUGGUCCCCUUUGCAUUUGACCCAAAUGUUUCGGUCAUUUUAUAUUUGCCAAUAUAAAUCUUUUUGGCAUAGAAAUUAUACAUUUGGAAUAAUAAUUUUGUAUGCUGCAUUCAAUCUAUUCUCCAUUCAGGGAGAUUCUUUUGUAAAUACCCACACCAAUCAGAAGUCUGUAUUUUUAUGCUAAAACAGAAAUUGGCAUCCCAGAGAGUAAAUUAUAUUCUAGUUUAGGGCAUGUUGCAGCUCUAUAUCUUGCCGUUCCAAGUUGCUUUGCGUUUGAUGUUUGUUCUGGGAUAAAAUAUUGAAUUAUACCUUGAAUUAAUGUUUUGUGAAAUUUAGUUUAAAUAAUUUAGUAGAGAGAUGAGUGCAUAAAGCAUAGGGAUUUUGAAGCUAAAUAUGUUAUAAAAUUUGUCAUUUUAGUGAAUGCAUUCUUUUCUGCUUGUCCUGGUUGUUGCAAGGAGACAUCAAGCAUUGUAAUGGAUGGAUGACGUGUGCAUUUUCUUGGUGGAUAUCUUGGGCAAAUGUGCAAUAUGACGAGGGAUAUCUUGGGCAAAUAUCUUAUAUAAAUUGGUACGAUUGGUUACCUUAAAUUACUAAAGAAGGAUGAUGUUGUAAGGUUAGUGGAUAUUUAUAAUAGUGAUAAAAUGGGGUUUCCCUAUGA